CACUCCCUGAAAAAGAAACCAGAGAGACAUUUUAAAAUAACCUUUUUAUUAGUAGCCUGUGAAAUGUUACAACCAAAGUCAUUCCUUUUUAUUCACUGUCCAUGUAACCAGGAUCCAUGAGAAUUCACCUAAACAGUUAAUAUUUUGAUGUAUACUGAAACAUCAGGGGAGGAAGGGCUUCAGGUAAAACCUUUGUUUGAGGGGCCAGUGAGCUGGUUCAGUGGGUAAGGACAUUUGUUGUCUUGUCUGAUGACCAAUGUGUGAUACUCAGACCCCGUGUAGUGGAGAGAACUGAGUCUUUCAAAUUACCCUCUGACCUCUAUGUAUAUGUGCAUGCAUGCACACCCGCACUUGUACACAUACACGCACGUAUGUAAUAAACGUUUUUAAUAAAUUUUGUUUGAUUUCUGCAUGACCUACAAAGAGGUCUUUAGGAAGUGUGACUACUUAAGUACCUCCUAGUAUCCUUGAUGAGUAUAUUUGUUCAUAGACUGCUGUGACCUGAGUGACAGCGACUGUCUUGUAUAAGUAAAGCAGUUCUCUGUCCAGGCAAUGCUAGUCAUGAGAAAAGGAAUCAGUAGAAACCAAGUCACUCCUAGAAUAUUAAGCACAUGCCGGAUAACACUUUAAACAUCCUGCACGUAUUAUUUCAACAUGUCACUGUGCCAACAACUACAUGGAGACACAAAGCCAUAAGAAAUCAAGUGCCCAAGGCACGCCCAGAAUGCAUGACCCGGGACUGACUCCAAAACUCAUUUACAACCUGUCCUUUCUGGCUCAGCUUGGUUCCAUCCAUUCUGAGUUGCUCUGACUGUUAUACUUGUCAAAUGGAUUUGCUUUUUCCUCUGUGAAUUCCUCUCACAUUUUAAGAUGUAAAAUCCAUGGCAUUACUUGCUUUUAUAUCUCAUAUUUUUUUUUAUUUCAAAAACUAUUAUUUUAUUUUCUGCACCUGGGUAUUUUGCCUAUAUGAAUGUCUGUGCAUCACAAGUGUGCCUGGUGGUGUUCAAGGAUGUCCAAAGGGGUUUGGGGUCAGAUACCCUGAAACUGAAGUUACAAGCAAUUAUGAGACACCAUGUGGGUGCUGAGAAUGGUAAUGUCCUCUGCAAGAGCAGUGAAUGCUCUCAACCACAACACGGUCUCUCCAGUCCUUGUGUUGCUUGCUUUUUUUAAAUGCUGGUAUACAACCGUUCUCAUACCAAGUAAGAGAUAUUUUACCAGUGCUAAGGGAUAAAUCUUUUACUUUGUAACUCUUAUCACAACUUUCGUUGUAGAGUACACAUGAAUUUCUGAGAAGCAACAGUUGCUAUAUUGGUCCAAAGCUCAGAAACAUAUCCAUAGUUCAUUUUGUCCCAAGUUUAUGAUUAUAUCUUAUUUAUCCAGGAAGACUGUAGUCACAGAAACUUCUGUGUUUAUUUCCUCAGUGGAUAGGUACCACGUAAAAUUAAAUUGAAUUAAAGGAAAAAUAACAAUUUCAUAAAUACUCUAAAACAAUAAUGUAUUGUUGAAAUACACUGAACCUUGUAAAAGCAACCUUGGGGGUGGAGUGUUUAUUUUUGGCUCACAAUCUCAGUUUAUAGUCCAUCACUGUAGAGAAGUCAAGGCAGAAACUUCCAAGAACUAUUCAUAUCACAUGAGAUAGGGGUGUAUGCCAACCUACUCACUUACUCAUGCUCAGCUUGAUUUAUCCACUCUCAUACUGCCCAGAACUCCCUGCCUAGGGAAUGGUGUUACCCAUGGUGGGUUGGAUCCCCCCAUAUCAAUUAACUUAAUUAAGAUAAUCCCUCAAAGGGAAACAUGAUGCAGACAGUCCUUCAUUGAGUCUCUCUUCUCAGGCGAUUCUAGGUUGUGCCAGAUUGACAAUUAAAACUGACCAUUCCAGUGACUUCGAGUGGAGGGGACAGAUAUUUUACCCUAACCAGCCGUGGUCCCUGGAGUAUUGUGACAACUAGGGGUGUAGCUUCACAAUCUUCAUAGAAAGGACCCAGAAUGGUCUAAUCAUGUUUUUUUAAAGCAGAACAUUAUAUUUUCUUUAAAUAUAUUUUGAUUGUUUAUGUCUUUUCUAUAAGGCAGAAUGCUCCAAUUGGAUCCUGUUCCAUACAGUAAAAUCCAAAGCUGUCUACUCCAGGAAACCACUGUGGGCAUGUCACGUAAAUGGAAUCAAACAACAUGUGAACUUUUAAAACUGGCUACUUCAAUGAAUAUCCUAGUAAGAGCACCAGUGGAAGGGGAAGCCCUGGGUCCUGGCACUGCCAUGAUCUUUAGUGUAGGGUAUCUUCCAUGUGCUGGAUAUGGUGAAUCAAGUUAUGGCUUGCAAGAGUGAGCAGUAAUGAGUGAUGACCUACUGGAUGAAUAAUUUCCUUGGGAGCCCGUGUCAGGUAACUCCAACUUACAGAUUUGGGCCUGGAGCACACUCUUUUCCACUCAUUCUCUACAACACCGGCUGUCACGAGCUUCUGGAAGAAGGCAGAGAUCAGCAUCACCGACAGAAUGCCCUGGAAAUCAACAGCAUGGAGGCACAGAAUCUUGUUCGUAAUUUAUGUAGAAGCACAGUCCAUACUUCUUGACUUGAUUGGCGAUGACAUCUGGAAUUGAUUCCUAUUGGGUAUUGUGUGCCACCACAUAUUAUACACAGGGACACAUUUUACUUACCCCUAAGAUCUUCAAUUUUCUGAUAAGGAUUUUCUGCACUUGGUUUUGGGAAUCGUAGGCUGUGGCUGUAAAUUCUGCUGUUCGGUACUCUGAAGUGAUGAUCUCUGGAGGAAACACCAGGAAAACGGGACUAUGCACAUUUUUUGAAUCCAUGAUGGUAUAGUUGGUUUUUUCAAGUGGAAGAAAAGGAUGUAGCUGGUACUCCCAUUUAAAUCAUCUUCGUUUCCUGUACUGAAGCUGUCUAGAGCACUGGCAUUGUUGUACUCUGGCUUAGAAUUAUAGAACCAUAAAGUCACAGAGUCAUAGAAUUUUAGGAAUGGCCAAGAGCCUAAAGAUAAGAAUUAAAGUGCCCAUCCCUGUG
Long non-coding RNA from Rattus norvegicus (Norway rat), 3010 nucleotides. RefSeq lists it as uncharacterized. Lineage: Eukaryota; Metazoa; Chordata; Mammalia; Rodentia; Muridae. The record is from RefSeq and is a predicted model, not a curated record.